GACGAACGCUGGCGGCGUGCCUAAUACAUGCAAGUAGAACGCAGUUGCGAACGGGUGAGUAACGCGUAGGUAACUGCCUCAUAGCGGGGGAUAACUAUUGGAAACGAUAGCUAAUACCGCAUACUGUGAGAUGGACCUGCGUUGUAUUAGCUAGUUGGUUAGGUAAAGGAUCACCAAGGCGACGAUACAUAGCCGACCUGAGAGGGUGUUCGGCCACACGUGGACUGAGACACGGCCCAGACUCCGUCGGGAGGGAGCCGUAGGGAAACGUCGGCAAUGGACGGAAGUCUUGCCGAGCAACGCCGCGUGAGUGAAGAAGGUUUUCGGAUCGUAAAACUCUGUUUUUUGAGUAGCGGUAACUAUCCAGAAAGGGCCGGCUAACUACGUGCCAGCAGCCGCGGUAAUUC
Molecule: ribosomal RNA, 407 nt
Filed under: uncultured bacterium
Lineage: Bacteria
Description: partial 16S ribosomal RNA
Rfam family: Bacterial small subunit ribosomal RNA
Source: RNAcentral